This 254-nucleotide ribosomal RNA is filed under the name uncultured bacterium. Its description in RNAcentral is "partial 16S ribosomal RNA". It matches the Rfam family "Bacterial small subunit ribosomal RNA", at positions 524 to 776 of the family's 1533-position model. The record is from RNAcentral.
GACGAACCGUGCGAACGUUAUUCGGAAUCACUGGGCUUAAAGCGCGUGUAGGCGGGCGGGUACGUCGGCGACUGAAAGCCCCCGGCUCAACCGGGGAAGGGGUGCCGAAACGGCCGGCCUGGAGGGGCGUAGGGGGACCUGGAACUUCCGGUGGAGCGGUGAAAUGCGUUGAGAUCGGAAGGAACGCCCGUGGCGAAAGCGAGGCCCUGGACCCUUACUGACGCUGAGACGCGAAAGCCAGGGGAGCGAACGGG